This 571-nucleotide small RNA is filed under the name Pan troglodytes (chimpanzee). Its description in RNAcentral is "processed transcript". Lineage: Eukaryota; Metazoa; Chordata; Mammalia; Primates; Hominidae. The record is from RNAcentral.
GACAUGCCCCAGCCACGGCUUGCUCUCAACUGUGUUGGUGGGAAAAGCUCCACAGAGCUGCUGCGGCAGUUAGCGCGUGGAGGAACCAUGGUAACCUAUGGGGGGAUGGCCAAGCAGCCCGUCGUAGCCUCUGUGAGCCUGCUCAUUUUUAAGGAUCUCAAACUUCGAGGCUUUUGGUUGUCCCAGUGGAAGAAGGAUCACAGUCCAGACCAGUUCAAGGAGCUGAUCCUCACACUGUGCGAUCUCAUCCGCCGAGGCCAGCUCACAGCCCCUGCCUGCUCCCAGGUCCCGCUGCAGGACUACCAGUCUGCCUUGGAAGCCUCCAUGAAGCCCUUCAUAUCUUCAAAGCAGAUUCUCACCAUGUGAUCAUCCCAAAAGAGCUGGAGUGACAUGGGAGGGGAGGCGGAUCUGAGGGGCUGGGUGCAGGCCCCUCAGUUGGGGUUCCCACCUUCCCCAGACUACUGUUCUCCUCACUGCCUCUUCCUAUUAGGAGGAUGGUGAAGCCAGCCACGAUUUUCCCCAGGGCCAGCCUUAAGGUAUCUAAUAAAGUCUGAACUCUCCCUUCCAAAAA